RNAcentral lists this small RNA (620 nucleotides) under Pongo abelii (Sumatran orangutan). RNAcentral's name for it is "processed transcript". The record is from RNAcentral. Lineage: Eukaryota; Metazoa; Chordata; Mammalia; Primates; Hominidae.
CAAGCAGGGGUCUCUAAUAAAUCCCCUUAAGCCAUCUGGGCCUACACCAGCAUCCGGUCAGUUAUCAUCUGGUGACAAAGCUUCAGGACUGGCUUUAAUUUUGGGAUAAUCACACCAACACCGUCUUCUAAUUUCACUGCUGCACAAGGGGCAACACCCUCCACUAAAGAGUCAAGCCAGCUGGAUGCAUUCUCAUUUGGUGGGGGAAGCAAACCUUCUUAUGAGGCCAUUCCUGAAAGCUCACCUCCCUCAGGAAUCACAUCCGCAUCAAACACCACCCCAGGAGAACCUGCCACAUCUAGCAGCAGACCUGUGGCACCUUCUGGAACUGCUCUUUCCACUACCUCUAGUAAGCUGGAAACCCCACCGUCCAAGCUGGGAGAGCUUCUGUUUCCAAGUUCUUUGGCUGGAGAGACUCUGGGAAGUUUUUCAGGACUGCGUGUUGGCCAAGCAGAUGAUUCUACAAAGCCAACCAAUAAGGCUUCAUCCACAAGCCUAACUAGUACCCAGCCAACCAAGACGUCAGGCGUGCCCUCAGGGUUUAAUUUUACUGCCCCCCCAGUGUUAGGGAAGCAAACGGAGCCCCCUGUGACCUCCUCUGCAACCACCACCUCAGUAGC